UUUCCGUAGGUGAACCUGCGGAAGGAUCAUUACAGAGUUCAUGCCCUCACGGGUAGAUCGCCCACCCUUGAAUAUUUAUACCUUAGUUGCUUCGCCAGGCCGUGGAAACACCAUGGGCUCCGGCUUAUGCGUGCCUGCCAGAGGAAACAAACUCUGUUUUUAGUGAUGUCUGAGUACUAUAUAAUAGUUAAAACUUUCAACAACGGAUCUCUUGGUUCUG
This 220-nucleotide unclassified non-coding RNA is filed under the name plant metagenome. RNAcentral describes it as "partial contains small subunit ribosomal RNA, internal transcribed spacer 1, and 5.8S ribosomal RNA". The record is from RNAcentral.